RNAcentral lists this long non-coding RNA (737 nucleotides) under Oryzias javanicus (javanese ricefish). Its description in RNAcentral is "lncRNA (ENSOJAG00000013111.1)". Lineage: Eukaryota; Metazoa; Chordata; Actinopteri; Beloniformes; Adrianichthyidae. The record is from RNAcentral.
GUUAAAUGUGUCCUUUAAAUGAAAUGAAAUGAAAUGAAAUGAAAUGAAAUGAAAUGAAAUUAAUUUAAUUUAUUUUAUUUUUUUAAGUAAUUAUUUAAUCUGACAGGUUUAACACGGGCGCGCGCGCGCGCUCAGAUAGCGGAAGAUGACCGCCUUUAAGAUGACCGCUCCGGAAACAACCGAACGUGGCCGAAAAGUCCCGAGGGAGGAAGCGUGAAAGUGAGCGUCUGCAGCUCUGAGAGCAGCGCUUCUUGACGGAGGAGCCUUCACCCGCAGUGCUCCCGGGAGCUCCGCUUCUCCAGGACUCCUGGAUUCAUCUCCGUUCUUCCGGUGGACGCCUUCAGAGGGUCACAGGUGUUACACGGAGGUCUGGAAAUUCAGGAACUCUCUGUGCUUGUCAGGGAUUAACCUGAUUCUAUGGAUGAAGCUGCACCUCCUUUCAGGAUUUCUAGAGCUUUCCUUCAUUUCUACCACCAAAUAAGUCACAGUCUUGUUGGAUAAAAGUGUGAGCCUGCAGCAAAUGAACUCCAGUUUCAGGACCGUAGGAGGUCCCUCACCCCUGAGAUGAUGGAUCUUCGAUUUAGAGGGUUUCUUUUUCUGUUACUGCCGCUGGCCCAGCUGAUCCUGCCCGCUCACACUGACAGUCAGUAUCUAAUCUAGUUUGUUUUAGCACCAGGGGUCCUGCAGGUCAUUGUGUGUCAAACAUGCAUGAAGCAUUCUAAUGUGUGAGAAGAAUA